This 6846-nucleotide long non-coding RNA is filed under the name Triticum aestivum (bread wheat). Its description in RNAcentral is "long non-coding RNA (TAES_LNC002589)". Lineage: Eukaryota; Viridiplantae; Streptophyta; Magnoliopsida; Poales; Poaceae. The record is from RNAcentral.
UGAAGAGGAGAUGCCCGCGUCUGCAGGCGAUUUGCUGCAAGAUCUCUCACAACUGCACGAGCGAGCUCAGCAAGUGAUGCAGGGCAUUGCUCAUGCCUUGUGGCCAUCAAGCUUCCUGCCGAAGGGUGACACGUCUCCGUCGUAUCUACUUUUCCAAACACUUUUUCCCUUGUUUUGGACUCUAACUUGUAUGAUUUGAGUGGAACUAACCCGGACUGACGCUGUUUUCAGCAGAAUUGCCAUGGUGUUGUUUUAUGUGCAGAAAACAAAAGUUCUCGAAAUGACCUGAAACUCCACGGAACACCUUAGAAAAAAAAGAAAAAAUCCUCGCCAAAGAUGAAGACAAGGGGGCCCACACCCUGCUCACGAGGGUGGGGGGCGCGCCCUCCCCCCUGGGCGCGCCGCCUUACCUCGUGGGCCCCCUGGUGGCCCUCCGACGCCAACUCCAACUCCAUAUAUAUGGCUUUCGGGAAAAAAAUCAGAGAAAAAGUUUCAUCAUGUUUUACGAUAUGGAGCCGCCGCCAAGCCCUAAUCUCUCUUGGGAGGGCUGAUCUGGAGUCCGUUCGGGGCUCCAGAGAGGGGGAUUCAUCGCCGUCGUCAUCAUCAACCAUCCUCCAUCACCAAUUUCAUGAUGCUCACCGCCGUGCGUGAGUAAUUCCAUCGUAGGUUUGCUGGACGGUGAUGGGUUGGAUGACAUUUAUCAUGUAAUCGAGUUAGUUUUGUUAGGGUUUGAUCCCUAGUAUCCAUUAUGUUCUGAGAUUGAUGUUGCUAUGACUUUGCUAUGCUUAAUGCUUGUCACUAGGGCCCGAGUGCCAUGAUUUCAGAUCUGAACCUAUUAUGUUUUCAUUAAUAUAUGUGUGUGCUUGAUCCUAUCUUGCAAGUCUAUAGUCACCUACUAUGUGUUAUGAUUCGGCAACCCCGAAGUAACAAUAAUCGGGACCACUCCCGGUGAUGACCAUAGUUUGAGGAGUUCAUGUAUUCACUAUGUGCUAAUGCUUUGUUCCGGUUCUCUAUUAAAAGGAGGCCUUAAUAUCCCUUAGUUUUCAAUAGGACCCCGCUGCCACGGGAGGGUAGGACAAAAGAUGUCAUGCAAGUUCUUUUCCAUAAGCACGUAUGACUAUAUACGGAAUACAUGUCUGCAUUACAUUGAUGAACUGGAGCUAGUUCUGUGUCACCCUAUGUUAUAACUGUUACAUGGCGAACCGCAUCCGGCAUAAUUAUCCAUCACUAAUCCGGUGCCUAUGAGUUUUCCAUAUACUGGUUUACGCUUAUUUACUUUUCCGUUGCUACUGUUACAAUGUAGGACCUUGAAGUAUGUCUAGAGGGGGGUGAUUAGACUACUUGACCAAUUAAAACUUAACCUUUUCCCAAUUUUAGAGUUUGGCAGAUUUUAGCUAUCUUAGGACAAGUCAAGCAAUCAUCACACAAUUCAAGCAACCAUGCAAAGAGUAUAUGAGCAGCGGAAAUUAAAGCAUGCAACUUGCAAGAAAGUAAAGGGAAGGGUUUGGAGGAUUCAAAAGCAAUUGGAGACACGGAUGUUUUUGGCGUGGUUCCAAUAGGUGGUGCUAUCGUACAUCCACGUUGAUGGAGACUUCAACCCACGAAGGGUAACGGCUGCGCGAGUCCACGGAGGGCUCCACCCACGAAGAAGCAACCUUGUCUAUCCCACCAUGGCCGUCGCCAACGAAGGACUUGCCUCACUAGCGGUAGAUCUUCACGAAGUAGGCGAUCUCCUUGCCCUUACAAACUCCUUGGUUCAACUCCACAAUCUUGUUGGAGGCUCCCAAGUGACACCUAGCCAAUCUAGGAGACACCACUCUCCAAGAAGUAACAAAUGGAGCAUUGAUGAUGAACUCCUUGAUCUUGUGCUUCAAAUGAUAGUCUCCCCAACAGUCAACUCUCUCUCAUAGGUUUUGGAUCUGGUGGAAAGAAGAUUUGAGUGGAAAGCAACUUGGGGAAGGCUAGAGAUCAAGAUUCAUAUGGUAGGAAUGGAAUAUCUUGGCCUCAACACAUGAGUAGGUGGUCCUCUCUCAGAAAUGGUAAGUUGGAAGUGUAGGUAUAGUCUGAUGGCUCUCUCCACGAAUGAAGAGGAGGUGGCGGGGUAUAUAUAGCCUCCACACAAAAUCUAACCGUUACACACAAUUUACCAAACUCGGUGGGACAGAUUCAACAGACUCGGUGAUACCGAUUUAGUAAACCUGGUGACCGUUAGUGAUUUGCGGUGGGACUGACAUGCAACUCGAUGAGACUGAUUCGGUUAGGGUUAGGGCAUAACGUAAUCUCGGUAAGACCGAUUACACAAACUCGGUGAGACCAAUUUUGGUAAUAAGCUUUCCAGAGAGUUGGUCAGGUAAACUCGAUGGGACCGAUUUGCUCUUUUCGGUGAGACCGAAAUGUUACAAAAGGGAAACAAAGAGUUUACAUUGCAAUCUCGGUGGGACCGAUCGCUCACUUUGGUUAGACCAAAAAGUUACGAAGGGAAACAAAGAGAUUACAAUCCCAAAAUCCAAGGGUGGGCCGGCCCACCGUGGGCACCCUAUAGAGAUACACAGCCGAGCGGCGAACAUGCAUUUUCGAAACUAAUUUAGGAACAUUUAGCUGACCAAUUAAACAACUCUGUUUUAAUAAUAUCAGAUUCGUAUUUGAACAACUAAGCUUGUUUAGCUUGGUGGGUGGAGCAGUGUUAUUAUGACACGAAGCACGUAUUCUGAUCGUAUAGUGAUCAUAAAAGGGAGAAACUCUAAGCAUAUUUUUUAAGCAAAAGAGGGUUUUCCCUCCGAUUUCUAUUAAAGAAACCACCACGGAACCAACAUGAUACAUUAAACCCUAAGAAUGAUCAAUUAAACUGUAUUAUGACUGUGCCAUGGCAGAUUUGAAGCUGCAGACCGGAGAAAUGAUAUUUAGCAUCCAUUGUUUGCUUCGAACUUAUAACUAAAUUCUAAGAGCUGAAAAGAAAGUAGAGUAACCAAGUUAAGAUCUAUUUUCUGGUUGAGAUCAAAAAGUUGAGGAGAUAUGAAGUACCACCUCUCUUGCGGUGCCGUGUAGGCAUCAGGUGUGCGAUGGCUGUCGGUGGCGUUGAAGCAGAUAUGCGACGGUAGACGGGUGCAUCGGAGGAUAAGUCCCGUUGCGGUGGAAGAGAAGGUCGGGUGAGCGGCCCCGGCAAAGAGGACGACGGCGCCGAUGAAGCGAGAGGACGCGAUGCAAGGCUAUUGGUCCGUCGCCGUGGAUGAGAAACGUCCAUCUCUAGUAGUGGACGACGCGGUCUUGGUAGGCGCUCUGGCAUGGUUGAGGACGGUGGCGAUGGAUGUGGUGGAGGACGGCGGCGAUGGAUGGGGUGGCGGACGGAGGCUGGUGUGGGCAUGGUGAUCUAGCAUGGACGGUCUAUGAAUGGGAAAAUGGAGGGAGAGGUACGGGUGUCGGUGUCAAAACCUGCGGAUCUCGGGUAGGGGGUCCCGAUCUGUUCGUCUUAGGCUAAUGGUAACAGGAGGCAAGGGACACAAUGUUUACCCAGGUUUGGGCCCUCUCGAUGGAGGUAAAACCCUACUUCCUGCUUGAUUGAUAUUGAUGAUAUGGGUGUUACAAGAGUUGAUCUACCACGAGAUCGUAGAGGCUAAACCCUAGAAGCUAGCCUAUGAUGAUUACGAAUGUGAUCAUUCCUCUAAGGACUAAACCCUCCGGUUUAUAUAGACACCGGAGAGGGCUAGGGUUUACAUGGAGUCGGUUACAAAGAAGGAAAUAUAAUAUCCGGAUAGCCAAGUUUGUCUUCCACGCAAAGGAGAAUCCCAUCCGGACACGGGACGGAGUCUUGAGUCUUGUAUCUUCACGCUCCAACAGUCUGGCCAAAGUAUAUAGUUUGGCUGUCCGGAUAACCCCUAAUCCAGGACUCCCUCAGUAGCCCCUGAACCAGGCUUCAAUGACGAUGAGUCCGGUGCGCAGUUUUAUCUUCGGCAUUACAAGGCGGGUUCCAUCUCCGAAUACUCCAAAGUACCAUCUCCACGUGUCGAGCGAAUACGAGGAGCCGAGGCAUUUUUGCAUUUGCCACCUCCGGUCUAGCAGGCUGACCGUCUAUUUGAAGAGACGGGGAUUCUCAGAUCCAAACCUCACCCUCUUCCCUCGAGCAAGCAUCGAACAGAGUGCUCCGAAAAAACCAUUCCAACAUGGUCGGUCACCGCAGCUCUUCUUCUCGCUCCCCUCUUUCCAAGACGAGUGACUGGGAAGAGUGUUCAGUUCCUCACAGCCAUUUGAUAGAGUUACAGACCCAAGGGUUUCUCCCACCGGCGUUCAUGGUCCCCAUCCGAGCUGGACUAGCCACCUAUAAUGGCGGGGAGCAAGCGGAGGGAUCUCCUAAUCCAUCUCCAGAGGAGCGAAUAUGUCUCAUCCCGCAUCUGCUAAGGGGCGUCGGGUUUCCUAUCCACCCAUUUCUUCGCGGGCUCUUGGAGUUCUACGGCCUCUAGUUGCACAGCUUCACCCCUGCCUCCGUGCUGCAUAUAGCAGGAUACAUUGCCCUUUGUGGGCCAUUUCUAGGCUGUGAGGCUCACUUUGGGUUAUGGAAGAAGUUGUUCUGCCUUGUCCCUCGCAACCAAGGGGAAUCCCUAUGUCAAGUGGGCAGAGCCGAAGUAUGGCGCAUCGCCGAGAUCGGAUACCUAUCCGAUACUCCCAAGAAGGCACCGAAGAACUGGCCUGUGGAGUGGUUUUAUGUCGAUGACGUUCCCCUUCCGGAUCCAGUCCGGACAGGUCUCGCUAAGUUUAGUAAUGCUCCGCCGAAGCCACGUCGAAGCUGGCGCCCUCGGGGCCCCUAAGAGGAGGAUACCAGAGAAAUACACUUCCUGAUGAGCAGGAUAAAGUUACUGGCCAAAUCCGGGCUGAGGAUAGUCGAGGUUAUGGCAAUAUGCAUAAUGCAGGGAGUGCAGCUGCUUCAAUAUCGGGGGAAGCCCAUGUGGCACUACAAUGGGGAAGAUGAUGCCACCUGCUGUGGUCAUAAGGGUCCGGACUCUGCCACUGCUCUAGCGAGGAUAUUGUCCGAUCUAUAUAAAGGAGAAGAAGAAGAAUUCCUUCACAUUAAACCGCGGGAUGGGUUUUCUAUGUAGACCCCCCCAAGCUGGGUAAUUCGUCACUCUUUCCCCCGCUUCACUCAUUCUAGAGUUCUUCGUCCAGAUUAUUUACCUCGAUAUUCUCGAGCAGGAAAUGAGGAGGGCCGUAGAAGGAAUCUCCAGCCCCUCCCCGCAGCCAGAGGACCCCGGAAGGUCCUUCGAUCCAGGACUCAAAGAAGAUCCGGAUAUUACUGUGGAGCUUGUCAACGGGAUAUUUUAUCAGGUGAGCUGCGAUGGCGCCUUAGUGGCUAUUAUCGCUGACUAUCCCGGACUGCUACCCACAUCGCGUGUAAGCCAAGCGAAAAAACCCUAUCCUCCAAAGAGGACUCCUUUCUGAUGCCAUUCCUUACACCUGAAGUGUCGUAUUUUUGUAGAGACGACGGUCAGAGCGCGGCGCCGAGCCCCAGGGGACUCGUCGGCAAAGGGUGUCCGGAUCGGGCAGGCUUAACAGGAAGGCAAUUAGGGCCAAAACGCCGCUACAGAGGUAUGGUAAAAACCUGCUCUGUCAUUAUUGUGUUUGAAAUGUAACAGCGUCCUUUGUGUCCUGGCGGAAAGAGGAAUAGCUGGACUAUAUCUAGAGAUCCUGCCAAUCACGCCUCCACCAGCCGGAUUACAAAACCGGCUUCGAGAGAGGAGGCGGACGCGGGGCCGAUGCCGCAUUGUCCUCUGACAGAGGAUGCAGAUAUGCUCUCUGCCACGAAUUCCGAAGUAGAGAGCGCCAUGAAUCACCGACGCCGACAUGCCGUACUUCACAACAACAUCUUUUCCGAAGAGGCAUUUAAUGCUUUCAAUUCGGGAGACGCAUACAUCCGAGCUGCUCAAGGUGGGCUUGCCCGAGCGACGGACCAGUAUGCCAAAGAUAUACGGGUCAGAGAAUUUGAUAAACAUGUAUAGCAGUAGCCCCUGAGACUUGAAACGGUUGGAACAACUGUUUUAAGGAUCAAUUUAUGCACAGGUCCUUGUAGAUAAGAAUGCCCAAUUGUCUCGAGAGCUGGAGGAGUGCAAGACCAAGCUGCGGACCAUGGUUGCCAAGUUAGAGGAAUCCCAGAAGGCCUCAUCUGGUAAUAUUUGUCUCAAUUGUACAGAAAUGUACCAGUUAGUAAGUGGCUUGUAUGAUAAGUCUAACAGAAAAUUCUGCAGAUAAUCCCGGGGUGAAUCGGGAGGUCGUGAGAGAUAACGAGUCGCAUAUCCAACGGCAGCUAAAAGCUGGCGAGCAUGUUCUUAUGCAAGUUAGGCAGGAGAAGAACAAUCUGCAAGAUGCCAAUGUCCAGCUGGGCAUUGAAUUAAAAGAUAUUCACGCUCAGCUGGCGGACUCCGUGAAGGAGAUCAAAAGGCUUUGUCGCCGCAUUUAUGGUAAGUGCCUAGACGAACUGUAGUAUAGCUCAGCAUGGAAGCAUAUUGAAAGAAUUAUUAUUUGUAGGUAUGUUGAUGGGCCGCCCUGAAGAGGAGAUGCCCGCGUCUGCAGGCGAUUUGCUGCAAGAUCUCUCACAACUGCACGCGCGAGCUCAGCAAGUGAUGCAGGGCAUUGCUCAGGCCUUGUGGCCAUCAAGCUUCCUGCCGAAGGGUGAUACGUCUCUGUCGUAUCUACUUUUCCAAACACUUUUCCCCUUGUUUUGGACUCUAACUUGUAUGAUUUGAAUGGAACUAACCCGGACUCACGCUGUUUUCAGCAGAAUUGCCAUGGUGUUGUUUUAUGUCCAGAAAACAAAAGUUCUCGAAAUGACCUGAAACUCCACGGAACACCUUAGAAAAAAAA